CUAAAAUCUGCAUUAGCGGGAGGGCUUGCCUCUGCUCUCUCCACUUCUUUACUGCAUCCGAUUGACACAAUCAAGACACGUGUGCAAGCAUCAACGUUAUCAUUUCCUGAAGUAAUAGCAAAGCUUCCAGAGAUUGGUGUACGGGGAGUAUAUAGGGGUUCUAUUCCAGCAAUUCUUGGACAAUUUUCAAGCCAUGGCCUACGGACAGGAAUAUUCGAAGCAAGCAAACUAGUGUUGAUCAAUUUUGC
This is a non-coding RNA of Camelina sativa (false flax), 248 nucleotides long. NCBI's taxonomy places the organism in Eukaryota, Viridiplantae, Streptophyta, Magnoliopsida, Brassicales, Brassicaceae. The record is from RefSeq and is a predicted model, not a curated record.